GCCUUCUUAGUUCAGUGGUUAGAAUUUUUCACUAGUACUUGGCACUCGUUGCAUACUACGAUGAAAGGGUCACCCGUUCAAUUCGGGUAGAAGGCA
Non-coding RNA from Apiotrichum porosum, 96 nucleotides. Lineage: Eukaryota; Fungi; Basidiomycota; Tremellomycetes; Trichosporonales; Trichosporonaceae. The record is from the annotation of a RefSeq genome assembly.